AACGAACGCUGGCGGCAGGCUUAACACAUGCAAGUCGAGCGCCCCGCAAGGGGAGCGGCAGACGGGUGAGUAACGCGUGGGAAUCUACCCAUCUCUACGGAAUAACUCAGGGAAACUUGUGCUAAUACCGUAUACGCCCUUCGGGGGAAAGAUUUAUCGGAGAUGGAUGAGCCCGCGUUGGAUUAGCUAGUUGGUGGGGUAAUGGCCUACCAAGGCGACGAUCCAUAGCUGGUCUGAGAGGAUGAUCAGCCACACUGGGACUGAGACACGGCCCAGACUCCUACGGGAGGCAGCAGUGGGGAAUAUUGGACAAUGGGCGCAAGCCUGAUCCAGCCAUGCCGCGUGAGUGAUGAAGGCCCUAGGGUUGUAAAGCUCUUUCACCGGUGAAGAUAAUGACGGUAACCGGAGAAGAAGCCCCGGCUAACUUCGUGCCAGCAGCCGCGGUAAUACGAAGGGGGCUAGCGUUGUUCGGAAUUACUGGGCGUAAAGCGCACGUAGGCGGAUUGUUAAGUUAGGGGUGAAAUCCCAGGGCUCAACCCUGGAACUGCCUCUAAUACUGGCAAUCUCGAGUCCGAGAGAGGUGAGUGGAAUUCCGAGUGUAGAGGUGAAAUUCGUAGAUAUUCGGAGGAACACCAGUGGCGAAGGCGGCUCACUGGCUCGGUACUGACGCUGAGGCUCGAAAGCGUGGGGAGCGAACAGG
RNAcentral lists this ribosomal RNA (700 nucleotides) under uncultured Phyllobacteriaceae bacterium. RNAcentral's name for it is "bacterial SSU rRNA". It matches the Rfam family "Bacterial small subunit ribosomal RNA", at positions 28 to 776 of the family's 1533-position model. Lineage: Bacteria; Pseudomonadati; Pseudomonadota; Alphaproteobacteria; Hyphomicrobiales; Phyllobacteriaceae. The record is from RNAcentral.